Molecule: ribosomal RNA, 253 nt
Filed under: uncultured bacterium
Lineage: Bacteria
Description: partial 16S ribosomal RNA
Rfam family: Bacterial small subunit ribosomal RNA
Source: RNAcentral
UACAGAGGGUGCAAGCGUUAAUCGGAAUUACUGGGCGUAAAGCGCACGUAGGUGGUUUGAUAAGUUGAGUGUGAAAGCCCUGGGCUUAACCUAGGAACUGCAUUCAAUACUGUCAAGCUUGAGUAGAGUAGAGGGAAGUGGAAUUUCCGGUGUAGCGGUGAAAUGCGUAGAUAUCGGAAAGAACAUCAGUGGCGAAGGCGGCUUCCUGGACUCAUACUGACACUGAGGUGCGAAAGCGUGGGUAGCAAACAGG